Molecule: ribosomal RNA, 656 nt
Filed under: Pseudomonas sp. PNW-1
Lineage: Bacteria; Pseudomonadati; Pseudomonadota; Gammaproteobacteria; Pseudomonadales; Pseudomonadaceae
Description: bacterial SSU rRNA
Rfam family: Bacterial small subunit ribosomal RNA
Source: RNAcentral
GAGAGCUUGCUCUCUGAUUCAGCGGCGGACGGGUGAGUAAUGCCUAGGAAUCUGCCUGGUAGUGGGGGACAACGUUUCGAAAGGAACGCUAAUACCGCAUACGUCCUACGGGAGAAAGCAGGGGACCUUCGGGCCUUGCGCUAUCAGAUGAGCCUAGGUCGGAUUAGCUAGUUGGUGAGGUAAUGGCUCACCAAGGCGACGAUCCGUAACUGGUCUGAGAGGAUGAUCAGUCACACUGGAACUGAGACACGGUCCAGACUCCUACGGGAGGCAGCAGUGGGGAAUAUUGGACAAUGGGCGAAAGCCUGAUCCAGCCAUGCCGCGUGUGUGAAGAAGGUCUUCGGAUUGUAAAGCACUUUAAGUUGGGAGGAAGGGUUGUAGAUUAAUACUCUGCAAUUUUGACGUUACCGACAGAAUAAGCACCGGCUAACUCUGUGCCAGCAGCCGCGGUAAUACAGAGGGUGCAAGCGUUAAUCGGAAUUACUGGGCGUAAAGCGCGCGUAGGUGGUUUGUUAAGUUGGAUGUGAAAGCCCCGGGCUCAACCUGGGAACUGCAUUCAAAACUGACAAGCUAGAGUAUGGUAGAGGGUGGUGGAAUUUCCUGUGUAGCGGUGAAAUGCGUAGAUAUAGGAAGGAACACCAGUGGCGAAGGCGACC